CCUUUUUUCUUCUUCUUCUUCUUCCUCUCAGGAGCUUCAGUCUU
Molecule: small RNA, 44 nt
Filed under: Arabidopsis thaliana (thale cress)
Lineage: Eukaryota; Viridiplantae; Streptophyta; Magnoliopsida; Brassicales; Brassicaceae
Description: ATSL102800
Source: RNAcentral